CCCAUUAAAUAUGAAUAAAUAUGAAUAAUUCUGACAACCUAGUCUACAUCUUCUGAUCUUUCCCUGAUCAGCAAAGUGAUCCUGAAAUGUUCAGCCCAGGCAUGUGCUGCAGCUCAGCUUAUGAACUGCUCUCGCUGCAGAAUGCUUCUGGCAGACCUGAGACUCCACGACGGACUGGAGGUGGAUCCCAGGAAGGUAUCUAACCUUCUCUUCCAUUAGAGGAAAAUACCUGACUCUCUUAACACAUUUGAAUAGUUCAAUUCAUUGCUGUCAUCUCAACAGUUUCAUAUUUUAUUUAGAUAUGAAGAGUCUGUAAUACUGAUGUAAAGGUGCAACCUGUGUAUGGGCAUCCAGAUUUAACAACUUCUGUACUAUAGUGAUUUAGCAAAUAAUGUUGUAUUUUGAUGAUGAAAAUAGAUGAUUUAUCUACUUUAAAAUAUGCCUUCUGAAUAGAUCCAUGGAUUGCUUUCACCAGGCCUCCUGGAUCUGAUUAUAUGAAAAUACUGAUUUUUAUAAACUGAAAUAGGUCUAAAGAUUACAUACAUAAUAGAUAGGAUAAACAUAGGUCACCAGGAACUGCUGAUCACAGAACUGAAAUCUG
This is a long non-coding RNA of Nothoprocta perdicaria, 601 nucleotides long. RefSeq lists it as uncharacterized. Lineage: Eukaryota; Metazoa; Chordata; Aves; Tinamiformes; Tinamidae. The transcript is spliced from 2 exons. The record is from RefSeq and is a predicted model, not a curated record.